UGGGGAAUUUUGGACAAUGGGGGCAACCCUGAUCCAGCCAUCCCGCGUGUGCGAUGAAGGCCUUCGGGUUGUAAAGCACUUUUGGCAGGGAAGAAACAGCCUGGGAUAAUACCCCGGGCGACUGACGGUACCUGCAGAAUAAGCACCGGCUAACUACGUGCCAGCAGCCGCGGUAAUACGUAGGGUGCAAGCGUUAAUCGGAAUUACUGGGCGUAAAGCGUGCGUAGGCGGUUCGGAAAGAAAGGUGUGAAAUCCCAGGGCUUAACCUUGGAACUGCACUUUUAACUACCGAGCUAGAGUACGUCAGAGGGGGGUAGAAUUCCACGUGUAGCAGUGAAAUGCGUAGAGAUGUGGAGGAAUACCGAUGGCGAAGGCAGCCCCCUGGGAUGAUACUGACGCUCAUGCACGAAAGCGUGGGGAGCAAACAGGAUUAGAUACCCUGGUAGUCCACGCCCUAAACGAUGUCAACUAGUUGUUGGGGAUUCAUUUCCUUAGUAACGUAGCUAACGCGUGAAG
RNAcentral lists this ribosomal RNA (516 nucleotides) under uncultured bacterium. RNAcentral's name for it is "partial 16S ribosomal RNA". It matches the Rfam family "Bacterial small subunit ribosomal RNA", at positions 355 to 864 of the family's 1533-position model. The record is from RNAcentral.